Molecule: unclassified non-coding RNA, 433 nt
Filed under: soil metagenome
Description: partial contains 5.8S ribosomal RNA, internal transcribed spacer 2, and large subunit ribosomal RNA
Rfam family: 5.8S ribosomal RNA (bases 1-120)
Source: RNAcentral
GAUGAAGAACGUAGCGAAAUGCGAUACGUAAUGAGAAUUGCAGAAUUCAGUGAAUCAUCGAAUCUUUGAACGCAUAUUGCGCUCUCUGGUAUUCCGGAGAGCAUGCUUGUUUGAGUAUCAGUAAACACCUCAACUUCCAUAUCUUUUUUGAAAUGGGAGUUGGACUUGAGUGAUCCCAACGCUUUUCCUCACCGAAAAGUGGCGGGUUACUUGAAAUGCAGGUGCAGCUGGACUUUUCUCUGAGCUAUAAGCAUAUCUAUUUAGUCUGCCUAAAAAACAGAUUAUUACCUUUGCUGCAGCUAACAUAAAGGAGAUUAGUUCUUGUGCUGACUGAUGCAGGAUUCACAAAGACAGGCUUCGGCCGACUUUGUAAACUCGAUCUCAAAUCAAGUAAGACUACCCGCUGAACUUAAGCAUAUCAAUAAGCGGAGGA